RNAcentral lists this ribosomal RNA (497 nucleotides) under uncultured bacterium. RNAcentral describes it as "partial 16S ribosomal RNA". It matches the Rfam family "Bacterial small subunit ribosomal RNA", at positions 28 to 507 of the family's 1533-position model. The record is from RNAcentral.
GAUGAACGCUGGCGGCGUGCCUAAUACAUGCAAGUCGAGCGAACAGACGAGGAGCUUGCUCCUCUGACGUUAUCGGCGGACGGGUGAGUAACACGUGGCUAACCUAUCUAUAAGACUGGGCUAACUUCGGGAAACCGGAGCUAAUACCGGAUAAUAUAUUGAACCGCAUGGUUCAAUAGUGAAAGACGGUUUUGCUGUCACUUAUAGAUGGAUCCGCGCCGCAUUAGCUAGUUGGUAAGGUAACGGCUUACGAAGACAACGAUGCGUAGCCGACCUGAGAGGGUGAUCGGCCACACUGGAACUGAGACACGGUUCAGACUCCUACGGGAGGCAGCAGUAGGGGAGGGUACGAAAGGGGCGAAAGCGUGAGGGAGCAACGGCGCGUGAGUGAUGAAGGUGUUCGGAUUGGAAAACUCUGUUAUUAGGGAAGAACAAAUGGGUAAGUAACUAUGAACGUCUUGACGGUACCGAAACAGAAAGCCACGGCUAACUACGUG